RNAcentral lists this non-coding RNA (28 nucleotides) under Mus musculus (house mouse). Lineage: Eukaryota; Metazoa; Chordata; Mammalia; Rodentia; Muridae. The record is from RNAcentral.
UGAAGGAAAACGGACGGUGCUUCCUGCC